CGCCUGCUUCGGGCAGUGCGACCCAGGACCACACAGGACCCCGUGCUGCCAAGGGCCCGGAGCUUAGUUCCCGCUCUGCUAUCACCGCCUCGAAAUUCACAGUAAUUUGGGAACGAGUUUACCCAUCUUUUCGUUGCUGGGGCCUAUCCCUCCCGCGCCGCAGUGAAAUGAGGAUAUCCCACUUUGCGGACCGAGAAGUGAGGCUGUCAGAUCGGGCUCCGGUCGCCGGUGGAAGUGGCCGUGUAGCGACAUCGUGACCCAAGCGCCAAGCUCUUCCUGCCCACAUAAGAGGAAGCCUGGGCAAACUGCCUCGAAACGCAGACCGAGGCCUCCGGCCAGGCCCGUCGGGAGCCGCCUCCAGGCCCACAGUCCUUGGGUGGAGCUGGGCUCGGACAGCGGCCACGAGUGUGCAUGCGGCCCUUGUCACUGAGUCCCGGGACGGGCUGGGGCAGGGUCAAGUGACAGAGCUGUUCUCAGAGUCUCGAUUUCAGCUCCAGCUCGGGAUAGAAAAAUUCUCCCCCCUUUCCCAGCGGCAUGCUCCGGGGCAGUUGGCCUCCCUGAGCCUUGCUUUCAUCAGAAGUAAACAAAGGAUAAUCUUCUCUGGGCAGCUCAAGGAGGAAUGAAUACCUCAAGGGCCUGGCAAGUUGCAGGAUUCUACCUUCAGCGGAACUGAACUAUCCGAAGUGCCUUUGGUGCCUGUCACAUUUCCUCCUCUUAUGCUGUAGCAGUCACUGUGGCUUCUUCCUGGAAUAUUAUUUCCACUUUGUCCAGGAGCAAACCUCAAAUCACCCUCGAAGACCCCAUAGAAUUGUCACCACUUUGAGAAAACUUCCCGCCCUUGAGUGUGGCUGACUUGUCCUUCCACUGGGUCUCUGCUGCACAGUGUACUCCUGCAUCCAAGUGAGCAUCUGUUCUACUCUUCCUGAGUCUGUGUCUCAGGGCCCCAAAGCCCCUUGAGGUCAAAGUCCCCAUCAUGUCCGUCUCCUCAGCACAUGCACAGCCCUUCACACAGCAUCUGCUGAAUGACCACAUCUCUCACCCACAUUCCUGAGGUUUUAACAACACGGAGCAGUGCACUUACCUGGGA
This is a long non-coding RNA of Heterocephalus glaber (naked mole-rat), 1087 nucleotides long. The record is from Ensembl. NCBI's taxonomy places the organism in Eukaryota, Metazoa, Chordata, Mammalia, Rodentia, Bathyergidae.